Molecule: unclassified non-coding RNA, 218 nt
Filed under: Hevea brasiliensis (rubber tree)
Lineage: Eukaryota; Viridiplantae; Streptophyta; Magnoliopsida; Malpighiales; Euphorbiaceae
Source: RNAcentral
GCGCAUCAUGAGCGUAAGGCAAAUUCGCGAGCGUGAAGGUCAUGGGGUCAGCUUCCGGAAAUUGUGGAUGACGAGGUGUCAACGCGGCGCACUAUAGAAGGUUUCCCGGAGAGGGAAACAGGGUUGCUGCCCGGAAUCAUGACGAUGGCCCGGCCANCAGAGCGGUAUUGCCGGGCCAUCGUUUUUACAGAUCGCCUUAUUCAGACAGCCUCUUAAGC